This 122-nucleotide ribosomal RNA is filed under the name Parasteatoda tepidariorum (common house spider). Lineage: Eukaryota; Metazoa; Arthropoda; Arachnida; Araneae; Theridiidae. The record is from RNAcentral.
GUCAACGGCCAUACCAUGAUGAAAAUACCGGUUCUCGUCCGAACACCGAAGUCAAGCAUCAUCGGGCGCGGUCAGUACUUGGGAGGGUGACCACCUGGGAACACCGCGUGCCGUUGGCAUAC